CUGCUCCUACGGGGCGCAGCAGUGGGGAAUAUUGCACAAUGGGGGAAACCCUGAUGCAGCGACGCCGCGUGAAGGAAGAAGUAUUUCGGUAUGUAAACUUCUAUCAGCAGGGAAGAAAAUGACGGUACCUGACUAAGAAGCCCCGGCUAACUACGUGCCAGCAGCCGCGGUAAUACGUAGGGGGCAAGCGUUAUCCGGAUUUACUGGGUGUAAAGGGAGCGUAGACGGCAGUGCAAGUCAGGAGUGAAAGCCCGGGGCCCAACCCCGGGACUGCUCUUGGAACUGCGUGGCUGGAGUGCAGGAGG
RNAcentral lists this ribosomal RNA (305 nucleotides) under uncultured bacterium. RNAcentral describes it as "bacterial SSU rRNA". It matches the Rfam family "Bacterial small subunit ribosomal RNA", at positions 333 to 655 of the family's 1533-position model. The record is from RNAcentral.